GACGAACGCUGGCGGCGUGCUUAACACAUGCAAGUCGAACGGUGAAAGCGGAGCUUGCUCCGCUGGAUCAGUGGCGAACGGGUGAGUAACACGUGGGCAACCUGCCCCUCACUUCGGGAUAACUCCGGGAAACCGGGGCUAAUACCGGAUAUGACCUCCUUGGGCAUCCUUGGAGGUGGAAAGUUUUUCGGUGAGGAAUGGGCCCGCGGCCUAUCAGCUUGUUGGUGAGGUAGUGGCGCACCAAGGCGACGACGGGUAGCCGGCCUGAGAGGGCGACCGGCCACACUGGGACUGAGACACGGCCCAGACUCCUACGGGAGGCAGCAGUGGGGAAUAUUGCGCAAUGGGCGAAAGCCUGACGCAGCAACGCCGCGUGCGGGAUGACGGCCUUCGGGUUGUAAACCGCUUUCAGCAGGGAAGAAGCCGCAAGGUGACGGUACCUGCAGAAGAAGCACCGGCUAUCUACGUGCCAGCAGCCGCCGCUG
This 485-nucleotide ribosomal RNA is filed under the name uncultured bacterium. RNAcentral's name for it is "partial 16S ribosomal RNA". It matches the Rfam family "Bacterial small subunit ribosomal RNA", at positions 28 to 523 of the family's 1533-position model. The record is from RNAcentral.